ACCAUCAGCGACUCAGAGCUGCCCUUCGCUGCGCCCCCUGCUCCCCCUAAAGCAGCAGCAGCAGCAGCAACAGCCACAGCAGGUGUACAGCUGGCCCUACCCUCCACAACCACAGCAGUUCCAGUACCCUUAUGAUGCAGCUGAGGGGACUGACACUGCCACCACCACCACCACCACUGCCACCACCGCCACAACAAGGGUUAUUCAGGUGUUGCCCCAAUAUGCUUCAACCCCACAGCCCCACUCCCCCAUGACAGUGCAGGCAGGGAAUGUCAUACAGGUUGUUCCAGGGAGGUGGAGGUGGGCCACACACACCUGGGUUACCUGUGGCUUGGCUGAUCUCCCUCCUCCAGCAGCAAAUCCCAAGAAUCAACGAGGACAUUGUGGACCCAGAGAUUGCAACAGCAGCAAGAGAGAGAGAGAAGCAAGAGAGGAGGGAGAGGAAGGAGAGGAGGAGGAGAGAGAGAGGGAAGCCAGGAGGGAGGCACGUCAGAGAGAGAGGGAGAGGAAGAGGUUGAUUCUAUUACAACAACAACUGCAACAACAACAACAGUUAGUCAGUGAGGAGGGGGAGGGGCCGUCCUCUGAUGCUGAGGAUGAGGUAUUGUUCAGGCAGUACACAGGAGACAAGGAUGGGAGCUACUCUCCCCCUCCCCCUCCAGGGUCGCCGCCCCCUUCACUGCAUUGAAGUUGUACCCAGGCUACACCCACUACACCUUCACAGCUCCCAGCACUGCAGUUAUAUACACACAGCCUUCCCCACAGCAAUAUGCUUACAACCAAGUGGCAGCCAUCCCAGGGAGGGUCGUGGUGGCCAACCAGGGGGGAGCAACAACCCCCACCAACCCCCCCACAGGGAUGUUCAGUUACCCUGGGUAUGUGUACACCACCCUCUACUCCCCUUCCCCCUCCCCUGCCUCCACUAUGUUCUUCCACCAGCAACA
Long non-coding RNA from Scylla paramamosain (green mud crab), 944 nucleotides. RefSeq lists it as uncharacterized. NCBI's taxonomy places the organism in Eukaryota, Metazoa, Arthropoda, Malacostraca, Decapoda, Portunidae. The record is from RefSeq and is a predicted model, not a curated record. The transcript has 6 exons.